UUAUGUAUUAGUAAAAUUAAAUAAUAAAUACAUCAUUAAUCUAGAAAUUAAAAGUUGAAGAGCUUACAUUAAUUAUUCAGUGGACACAUGGCAAAUGUUAAAGUGAUGAUAUAUCAAUCAUAUGGAGAGAGUUGGUCAACUUUCAUAUAUAUGAUUAUAAAAACUAUUAUAUAUACGUUUUUACUGUAGAUAAUUCUUUCUGAUAAAAAUAUAAUAUUUUUAUGCUCAUACAAUCUGUAUAGUA
This 244-nucleotide small RNA is filed under the name Arabidopsis thaliana (thale cress). RNAcentral describes it as "ATSL154100". The record is from RNAcentral. Lineage: Eukaryota; Viridiplantae; Streptophyta; Magnoliopsida; Brassicales; Brassicaceae.